GGUCCUAUGGUGUAAUGGUUAGCACUCUGGACUUUGAAUCCAGCGAUCCGAAUUCGAAUCUCCGUGGGACCU
Molecule: transfer RNA, 72 nt
Filed under: Otolemur garnettii (small-eared galago)
Lineage: Eukaryota; Metazoa; Chordata; Mammalia; Primates; Galagidae
Description: tRNA-Gln (TTG) (tRNA-Gln-TTG-3-1)
Rfam family: tRNA
About the family: Transfer RNA (tRNA) molecules are approximately 80 nucleotides in length.
Source: Rfam by way of RNAcentral